Molecule: small RNA, 94 nt
Filed under: unclassified sequences
Description: dinG RNA
Rfam family: dinG RNA
Source: Rfam by way of RNAcentral
AAUGAUACUUCCCUGAACCUGUCUAUAAGGGCCCGCGAAGAAGGAAAAGCGGGGGAAUGCCCGCCGCGUUUGAAAUAGAAUGCGGCCGGAUUCC